GACGGAGGAUGCAAGCGUUAUCCGGAAUUAUUGGGCGUAAAGCGUCCGUAGGCGGUUUCAAAAGUCUGUUGUUAAAGCCCACAGCUCAACUGUGGAUCGGCAAUGGAAACUGUGAGACUAGAGAGUGGUAGGGGUAGAGGGAAUUCCUAGUGUAGCGGUGAAAUGCGUAGAUAUUAGGAAGAACACCAGUGGCGAAGGCGCUCUACUGGGCCAUUACUGACGCUGAUGGACGAAAGCUAGGGGAGCGAAAGGG
Molecule: ribosomal RNA, 253 nt
Filed under: uncultured bacterium
Lineage: Bacteria
Description: partial 16S ribosomal RNA
Rfam family: Bacterial small subunit ribosomal RNA
Source: RNAcentral